This 397-nucleotide ribosomal RNA is filed under the name uncultured bacterium. Its description in RNAcentral is "partial 16S ribosomal RNA". It matches the Rfam family "Bacterial small subunit ribosomal RNA", at positions 523 to 918 of the family's 1533-position model. The record is from RNAcentral.
AUACGUAGGGGGCGAGCGUUGUCCGGAAUGAUUGGGCGUAAAGGGCGCGUAGGCGGCGCGGUAAGUCUGGAGUGAAAGUCCUGCUUUCAAGGUGGGAAUUGCUUUGGAUACUGCCGCGCUUGAGUGCAGGAGAGGUUAUCGGAAUUCCCGGUGUAGCGGUGAAAUGCGUAGAGAUCGGGAGGAACACCAGUGGCGAAGGCGGGUAACUGGACUGCAACUGACGCUGAGGCGCGAAAGUGUGGGGAGCAAACAGGAUUAGAUACCCUGGUAGUCCGUGCCGUAAACGAUGAAUACUAGGUGUAGGGGGUAUCGACUCCCUCUGUGCCGCAGUUAACACAUUAAGUAUUCCACCUGGGGAGUACGGCCGCAAGGUUGAAACUCAAAUGAAUUGACGGGG